GAUGAACGCUGGCGGCCUGCUUAACACAUGCAAGUCGAACGAUUAAACUGGCUUCGGCCAGAUAUAGAGUGGCGAACGGGUGAGUAACACGUGACCAACCUGCCCCGCGCUCCGGGACAACCGCUGGAAACGGCGGCUAAUACCGGAUGCUCCGGGGAGGCCCCAUGGCCUCCCCGGGAAAGCCUUAACGGCGCGGGAUGGGGUCGCGGCCCAUUAGGUAGACGGCGGGGUAACGGCCCACCGUGCCCGCGAUGGGUAGCCGGACUGAGAGGUCGACCGGCCACAUUGGGACUGAGAUACGGCCCAGACUCCUACGGGAGGCAGCAGUGGGGAAUUUUGCGCAAUGGGGGCAACCCUGACGCAGCAACGCCGCGUGCGGGACGACGGCCUUCGGGUUGUAAACCGCUUUCAGCAGGGAAGAAAUUCGACGGUA
RNAcentral lists this ribosomal RNA (433 nucleotides) under uncultured bacterium. Its description in RNAcentral is "bacterial SSU rRNA". It matches the Rfam family "Bacterial small subunit ribosomal RNA", at positions 28 to 477 of the family's 1533-position model. The record is from RNAcentral.